GCUUCCCUCUUUCUUCGCGCCUAAUACAUGCAAGUCGAGCGAACAGAUGAGGAGCUUGCUGCUCUGACGUUAGCGGCGCACGGGUGAAUAACGCGUGGAUACCCCACCUAUAAGCCUGGGAUACCUUCGGGACACCGGCGCUAAUACCGGAUCAUAUAUUGAACCGCAUGGUUCAUUAAUGAAAGACCGUUUUGCUGUCACUUCUAGAUGUAUCCGCGCCGCAUUAGCGAGUUGGUAAGGUAACGGCUUACCAAGGCAACGAUGCGUAGCCGACCGGAGAUGGUGAUCCGCCACACGGUAACAGACAGACGGUGCGGACUCCUAAGGAAGGCAGCAGUAGGGAAUCUGCCGCAAGAGGCGAAUGCCGCACAGUGCAACGCCGCGUGAUUGAUGAAGGGCUUCUGGUGGUAAAACGCUGUUGUUAUGGAAGAACAAAUCUGUAGGGAACUAUCCACGUCUUGACGUUACCUAAUCAGAAAGCCACGGCUAACUACGUG
RNAcentral lists this ribosomal RNA (497 nucleotides) under uncultured bacterium. RNAcentral describes it as "partial 16S ribosomal RNA". It matches the Rfam family "Bacterial small subunit ribosomal RNA", at positions 36 to 507 of the family's 1533-position model. The record is from RNAcentral.